CGUUGGGGUCUUUCAUAUACAGGAGUGCUUGCAUCUCGGCUACGAGGUUAAAUGGAGCGGAUGGAGGCGCAGGUCAUGUACUGCGGUGAAUCCUUUUCCCGGGCCUUGUACACACCGCCCGUCACACCGUGGAAGUUGGCCACGCCCAAAGCCGUUACUCCAACCCUUGUGGAGGAGGACGUCAAAGGUGGGGCUGAUGACUGGGGUGAAGUCGUAACGGGGAGCCGUACCGGAAGGUGCGGCUGGAUCACCUCCUAACAGGGAGACAAACAACCAUUUUGAUGUCUGAGUAUU
Molecule: ribosomal RNA, 294 nt
Filed under: uncultured Prochlorococcus sp.
Lineage: Bacteria; Bacillati; Cyanobacteriota; Cyanophyceae; Synechococcales; Prochlorococcaceae
Description: partial 16S ribosomal RNA
Rfam family: Bacterial small subunit ribosomal RNA (bases 1-258)
Source: RNAcentral